UCCAGACUCCUACGGGAGGCAGCAGUGGGGAAUAUUGCACAAUGGGGGAAACCCUGAUGCAGCGACGCCGCGUGAGUGAAGAAGUAUUUCGGUAUGUAAAGCUCUAUCAGCAGGGAAGAAAAUGACGGUACCUGACUAAGAAGCCCCGGCUAACUACGUGCCAGCAGCCGCGGUAAUACGUAGGGGGCAAGCGUUAUCCGGAUUUACUGGGUGUAAAGGGAGCGUAGACGGCAUGGCAAGUCAGAUGUGAAAGCCCGGGGCUCAACCCCGGGACUGCAUUUGAAACUGUCAGGCUGGAGUGCAGGAGAGGUAAGUGGAAUUCCUAGUGUAGCGGUGAAAUGCGUAGAUAUUAGGAGGAACACCAGUGGCGAAGGCGGCUUACUGGACGGCAACUGACGCUGAGGCUCGAAAGCGUGGGGAGCAAACAGGAUUAGAUACCCCCGUAU
Molecule: ribosomal RNA, 446 nt
Filed under: uncultured bacterium
Lineage: Bacteria
Description: partial 16S ribosomal RNA
Rfam family: Bacterial small subunit ribosomal RNA
Source: RNAcentral